CCUACGGGAGGCAGCAGUGAGGAAUAUUGGUCAAUGGCCGGAAGGCUGAACCAGCCAAGCCGCGUGAAGGACGAAGGUGCCAAGCAUUGUAAACUUCUUUUGUCAAGGGACAAAAUCAGGCUCGAGAGCCUGACCGAGGGUACUUGAAGAAAAAGCAUCGGCUAACUCCGUGCCAGCAGCCGCGGUAAUACGGAGGAGGCGAGCGUUAGCCGGAUUUAGUGGGGUUAAAGGGUGCGUAGGCGGACUGUUAAGUCAGAGGUAAAAGCCCGGGGCUCAAACCCGGCGAGCCGUUGAGACUGGCUGUCUUGAGAUGUCGAGAGGUAUGCGGAAUGCGCAGUGUAGCGGUGAAAUGCUUAGAUAUUGCGCAGAACUCCGAUUGCGAAGGCAGCAUACCGGCGGCGAUCUGACGCUGAGGCACGAAAGCGUGGGUAUCGAACAGGAUUAGAUACCCGGGUAGUC
This 459-nucleotide ribosomal RNA is filed under the name uncultured bacterium. Its description in RNAcentral is "partial 16S ribosomal RNA". It matches the Rfam family "Bacterial small subunit ribosomal RNA", at positions 338 to 795 of the family's 1533-position model. The record is from RNAcentral.